RNAcentral lists this unclassified non-coding RNA (338 nucleotides) under soil metagenome. RNAcentral's name for it is "partial contains 5.8S ribosomal RNA, internal transcribed spacer 2, and large subunit ribosomal RNA". The stretch from base 1 to 120 matches the Rfam family "5.8S ribosomal RNA", at positions 35 to 154 of the family's 154-position model. The record is from RNAcentral.
GAUGAAGAACGUAGCGAAAUGCGAUAAGUAGUGUGAAUUGCAGAAUUCAGUGAAUCAUCGAAUCUUUGAACGCACAUUGCGCCCUUUGGUAUUCCAAAGGGCAUGCCUGUUCGAGCGUCAUUUGUACCCUCAAGCUUUGCUUGGUGUUGGGCGUCUUGUCUCCAGUUCGCUGGAGACUCGCCUUAAAGUAAUUGGCAGCCGGCCUACUGGUUUCGGAGCGCAGCACAAGUCGCGCUCUCUUCCAGCCAAGGUCAGCAUCCACAAAGCCUUUUUUCAACUUUUGACCUCGGAUCAGGUAGGGAUACCCGCUGAACUUAAGCAUAUCAAUAAGCGGAGGA